CUUCGACAUUUUUCUCCCUGUGUAAAAACGGCCCUGUGCCAUGAUUACAGAAACACGCGUAAUUUCGUCUUUUAUUCUCCAGGUCAUACGGAUGCAAUGCUUUUGUUUAUAAACAGGAACUUUCUGGAACGAGUGAGGCAAAGCAAAUUGGGCUGAGACACAAAGAUCAUUGGAGAGGUGGUGAGUCACAGAAGCGUUCCAGAAAACAAUUUUAAAGGAAACAGCUGCCGUCUGAUGUCUGCCCCGACCUGCAGCGCCUCGUGCCAGUCCAGCAGCUCGCGGGGGUGGUACACGGCAAACACCGCGAGGCUGAAGAAGUUACUGGCCAGGAGGCUGUAG
Long non-coding RNA from Paramormyrops kingsleyae, 339 nucleotides. RefSeq lists it as uncharacterized. The record is from RefSeq and is a predicted model, not a curated record. NCBI's taxonomy places the organism in Eukaryota, Metazoa, Chordata, Actinopteri, Osteoglossiformes, Mormyridae.